This 355-nucleotide ribosomal RNA is filed under the name uncultured bacterium. RNAcentral's name for it is "bacterial SSU rRNA". It matches the Rfam family "Bacterial small subunit ribosomal RNA", at positions 30 to 391 of the family's 1533-position model. The record is from RNAcentral.
AUUGAACGCUGGCGGCAUGCCUUACACAUGCAAGUCGAACGGCAGCGGACCUUCGGGUGCCGGCGAGUGGCGAACGGGUGAGUAAUAUAUCGGAACGUACCUUUCAGUGGGGGAUAACGUAGCGAAAGUUACGCUAAUACCGCAUAUUCUGUGAGCAGGAAAGCAGGGGAUCGCAAGACCUUGCGCUGAUUGAGCGGCCGAUAUCAGAUUAGCUAGUUGGUGAGUAAAGGCUCACCAAGGCGACGAUCUGUAGCGGGUCUGAGAGGAUGAUCCGCACACUGGAACUGAGACACGGUCCAGAUCCUACGGGAGGCAGCAGUGGGGAAUUUUGGACAAUGGCGGCAAGCCUGAUCAG